AUAAUAAAUUAAUUCAUUUUAUUUAAUAAAAUAAAAUUACUUUAAAAUUUUUAAUAAAAAUCAUUUUAUAUAAUUUAAAUUUAAUUUUAUUAAUAUAUAAUUCAUUAAUUAUUAAUUAUUUUAUAUCUUGAUUUAAUUUAAUUUAAUAAAAUAAAUAUUAAAAUAAUUUUUUAAAAAUUAUUUUAUAUUAUAAUGAUAUAUAAAAAUUAAUUAAUUUAAUUUUAUAGUGCUUUAUCUAUUUAUUUAAUAAAUUCCCCUUAAAAAAUUAUUACUGCCAAAAUUCAAUAAUUUUAAUAAAUCUAUUUAAUAAUCUAAUUAAAAUUUAAAUUUAAAUAGUAGAGUAUCUAAUUCUAGUUUAUAAAUAAAUUUAAAUAUUUUAAAUUUAUAUUUAAUUAAUUAAUAAAAUUUUACCUAAAUUAAUUAAUAAAAUAAAAUUUAAUAAUUUAAUAAUAAAUUUAAAUUAUUUAAUUUAUAACUUAAGU
Molecule: ribosomal RNA, 482 nt
Filed under: Pseudococcus longispinus (long-tailed mealybug)
Lineage: Eukaryota; Metazoa; Arthropoda; Insecta; Hemiptera; Pseudococcidae
Description: partial 12S ribosomal RNA
Source: RNAcentral